Lycium barbarum (goji berry) is the source of this 2471-nucleotide long non-coding RNA. RefSeq lists it as uncharacterized. The transcript has 2 exons. NCBI's taxonomy places the organism in Eukaryota, Viridiplantae, Streptophyta, Magnoliopsida, Solanales, Solanaceae. The record is from RefSeq and is a predicted model, not a curated record.
CCUCCGUUUCUCUUUCUUUCCUCUCUCUCUAUUUCUCCUCUUUAGAAAAAAAUGGAAAAGGCACAGAACCCUUUCGUUGAACACAGGUCACGCGUGGCCAUUUGAAGUUAGGAAUUAAUGAUCUUGUCCUUCUCCUUCAGAUUUCCAUACCGUUGAAGCAGAUACUAACUCGGAGAAUUCGAAGUGUUUCGAGGUAUAUCGGAAGCUCGAGCCCCACUUCGCUGCACCCGAAGAAGGUCAUCCUAUUUCCCUCCUUUAGUAUAUUGUUAGUUUUUUUUUUUUUUGCUUAUCUGCACUAAAGUUGAUUAGUUAUGAUAUGUGUUAAGUGUUAGUCUUGUUUGGUUAUGUCGUCCUAAUUGCUAAGUUUAGUCAUGUUUAAAAAGCAUUUGAAUUCUUGUUUAUAUGUUAUUAUCAGUUUAGGUUUUUGAAUCAAGCAUGCCAAAUAAUUAGUUUAAUCAGCAUUAUGCCUGUUUUAGCUCCUGUUCAGCAUGUUUAUUAGUUUAAAGUCUUGUUUAGCUGCACCUCUCUACUAUUUUCUUAAUGAAUCCACCCCUAUUAUGCUAAGAAUAUGAUAUCAAUAGCUCUUGGACCAUGUUUAGAUAGUAUCUCUCCUGUAUAGCUCUAUCUGUGCUAUAAAAAUUCAUUAAUGCAGAGUGUGAUGCAUGCCUAAUGGUCAUUAGUGGUUUAUACAUUACUGGUAAUUUAUGUAGGUUGGAUUAAUGAUAUUUAAAGGGGUUUUGAGCCAUCAUGUGACUAGUAUAAGAUCUGUUUUGCAAAGGGAUUUGCUAGUUAGAUAAAGUGUGUUGUGUUCUUGUCUCAUUUAAAUUUAAACUUGAAAUUUGGUUAAGAAGUAAUGGUAGAUGAAUGUUAAGUUGUGAACAUGAUCCUAUAUGCUUGAAUGUUAGUAAGAUCUGAGUCAUCUAGAUUGGUUUUGAUGUCUUUGGAGUUGUUUCUUGUGAAUAUUUGGGUGAUAGAUGUUCGGAUUCAGUCGCGUUAGUUUCGUUCUGUUAAAGCAUGUCUACUAACUGACUUAAUCAAGCUUCGAUUAGUUUUUGACCAUUAUGAAGUAGCAGCCAGUCCUAGAAUGAAACUGUCAUCUUCCCUCAAACUUUGGUUUGUUCAAAUGGUCGGGGUUGUUUUAACUUGAGUAGUUUCCUGAAAAGAAUGAGUUGUAUUUCUUAAAAGCGAUCAGCAGAAGUGCUUGAAGAUCUUUUUUUUUUUUUGUGAAAAUGACCAAAUGCCAAACUUCUAAACUAUUUUUUUUCCUAUUUAAACUCAUCCUGGCUUUCUAAAUACCAUAAGAAUAGCCGACUCUGUCCAUGUUCAGUGUUAAGGCUUCUGCCCGAAUAGUUUAAGCUCCCUAUUUUUCAGUUAUCAUUCGGUGAAAUGUGAUAUCCCCUUCCUCUAGUUAAUCGAUGAAGCAUGCUUUUAUUUUUACUUUUGGGACAGUGAUCAGCCUACCAUUCUUUAGUUUUAAUUUUGAAAAAAGGAAAGAAUAAUUUGUAUGCCUCUUUGCCAUAUUUUAGUUAGUGUUUGUCGUGCUAGUUGAUUUCUUAUGGUGUAGUUUCAAACCGGGCUGCUAAAUGAGGGAGAAGUUUAAGUUCUAGUCUCUCAUCUGUUUAGUGUAUGGUCUCGUGGUCGUUCCUGUUCAAAUCUAUGUCCAUGAUGAAGGCCCUCGUGCUAAGUAGAUGACAUUGUGGGGAAAGACUUAAGUAUGUGAAAUCUAGUUUGAGUCGUGUUGUUGACCUUGUUAAGUCGCCUCAUGGCCACUGGGCUGAAAUGUCAUUUUUUUACCAUAUUCCCCUGCUGGGCUGCGAAGGCCCAGUGAUAUAUAUGUGUGCACCAUCCACCAUUUUGUCCGUGAAUUAUAUAUGUGUAUAUUAAAUAUACACAAUGUAUAUAUAUAAAUCAUUUGUCUGUUGAGAUUGCUCUAUUAAGUUGGCAUGACAAGGUUCUACUUUUGUUUAUUAUUCACGUGGUGGCUUCAUUGUGUUACGGCUAUUUGCUUUCUUUUUUUUUACAUUUAUUUGAGGAAUGGGUCUUGCAAAUCCUCAUUGUACUAAUCCUUUUUCUUUCAUUUUUUUUUUGCAUGAACCUCGCAUACGAGUCCGAGAGACUCGUCUUCCACAUUCAUUGUUGGGCUAAAAGCCCAACAUAAUAUUAUCGAGUCAUUCUCUGGGCCGAAGUCCAACAGCAGCAGCCACAUAUAAAAAUUUACUGGGCCAAAGCCAAGUAGCAAAUGGAACGCAGCAACAGUCCCUAAGAAUGGGCUGAACCCAUUUCACUUAUUUAUUCCUCCAUUUUACUCUUUUCAUGCAUUUAAUUUGUAUUGCAACUAACUCUUUGUUUGUUUUGUUUUCUUAAUUUAGAUAAAUCCUAAUGAAUUAGUAGUUUUUAAAUGGGUAGUUAGUUUAGGGAAGACUAACAAUUAAUUCCAUAAGUUUAUUAUCUUCUUUCCAUGAUUAAAACUA